ACUACCCCUAGAGGCAUGGUAGGUGUGACUGCUGUGUCACAUGUACGUCAGUAGGUGGCAGAGAGGAGAGAGGUUGUGUUUUGCCCAGCAUUCUGAUUUGUGAACAUCUGAAUGAUCAGUAGCCUAACAGU
Small nucleolar RNA from Mastomys coucha (southern multimammate mouse), 131 nucleotides. RefSeq annotates it as small nucleolar RNA SNORA17. The transcript has a single exon. The record is from RefSeq and is a predicted model, not a curated record. Lineage: Eukaryota; Metazoa; Chordata; Mammalia; Rodentia; Muridae.